UACGGGGGGAGCAAGCGUUGUUCGGAUUUACUGGGCGUAAAGGCGCGUAGGCGGCGUGACAAGUCACUUGUGAAAUCUCCGGGCUUAACUCGGAACGGUCAAGUGAUACUGUCGUGCUAGAGUACAGAAGGGGCAACUGGAAUUCUCGGUGUAGCGGUGAAAUGCGUAGAUAUCGAGAGGAACACCUGCGGCGAAGGCGGGUUGCUGGGCUGAUACUGACGCUGAGGCGCGAAAGCUAGGGGAGCGAACGGG
Molecule: ribosomal RNA, 252 nt
Filed under: uncultured bacterium
Lineage: Bacteria
Description: partial 16S ribosomal RNA
Rfam family: Bacterial small subunit ribosomal RNA
Source: RNAcentral